This 465-nucleotide ribosomal RNA is filed under the name uncultured bacterium. RNAcentral describes it as "partial 16S ribosomal RNA". It matches the Rfam family "Bacterial small subunit ribosomal RNA", at positions 28 to 507 of the family's 1533-position model. The record is from RNAcentral.
GAUGAACGCUGGCGGCGUGCUUAACACAUGCAAGUCGAACGGAAAGGCUCCUGCUUGCAGGGGUACUCGAGUGGCGAACGGGUGAGUAACACGUGGGUGAUCUGCCCUGCACUUCGGGAUAAGCCUGGGAAACUGGGUCUAAUACCGGAUAGGACCACAUUUUGGAUGGUGUGGUGGAAAGUUUUUCGGUGUGGGAUGAGCUCGCGGCCUAUCAGCUUGUUGGUGGGGUAAUGGCCUACCAAGGCGUCGACGGGUAGCCGGCCUGAGAGGGUGUACGGCCACAUUGGGACUGAGAUACGGCCCAGACUCCUACGGGAGGCAGAAGUGGGGAAUAUUGCACAAUGGGCGCAAGCCUGAUGCAGCGACGCCGCGUGGGGGAUGACGGCCUUCGGGUUGUAAACUCCUUUCGCUAGGGACGAAGCGCAAGUGACGGUACCUGGAGAAGAAGCACCGGCUAACUACGUG